RNAcentral lists this ribosomal RNA (391 nucleotides) under uncultured bacterium. Its description in RNAcentral is "bacterial SSU rRNA". It matches the Rfam family "Bacterial small subunit ribosomal RNA", at positions 29 to 433 of the family's 1533-position model. The record is from RNAcentral.
AACGAACGCUGGCGGCAGGCCUAACACAUGCAAGUCGAACGCCGUAGCGAUACGGAGUGGCAGACGGGUGAGUAACGCGUGGGAACAUACCCCUCGGUUCGGAAUAACUCAGGGAAACUUGAGCUAAUACCGGAUACGUCCAAGGUUUUAAUCGACCUUGGAGAAAGAUUUAUCGCCGGAGGAUUGGCCCGCGUCUGAUUAGCUUGUUGGUGAGGUAAUGGCUCACCAAGGCGACGANCAGUAGCUGGUCUGAGAGGAUGAUCAGCCACAUUGGGACUGAGACACGGCCCAAACUCCUACGGGAGGCAGCAGUGGGGAAUAUUGGACAAUGGGCGAAAGCCUGAUCCAGCCAUGCCGCGUGAGUGAUGAAGGCCUUAGGGUUGUAAAGCUC